Molecule: ribosomal RNA, 497 nt
Filed under: uncultured bacterium
Lineage: Bacteria
Description: partial 16S ribosomal RNA
Rfam family: Bacterial small subunit ribosomal RNA
Source: RNAcentral
GACGAACGCUGGCGGCGUGCCUAAUACAUGCAAGUAGAACGCUGAAGAGAGGAGCUUGCUCUUCUUGGAUGGGUUGCGAACGGGUGAGUAACGCGUAGGUAACCUGCCUUGUAGCGGGGGAUAACUAUUGGAAACGAUAGCUAAUACCGCAUAACAAUGGAUGACACAUGUCAUUUAUUUGAAAGGGGCAAUUGCUCCACUACAAGAUGGACCUGCGUUGUAUUAGCUAGUAGGUGAGGUAAUGGCUCACCUAGGCGACGAUACAUAGCCGACCUGAGAGGGUGAUCGGCCACACUGGGACUGAGACACGGCCCAGACUCCUACGGGAGGCAGCAGUAGGGAAUCUUCGGCAAUAGGGGCAACCCUGACCGAGCAACGCCGCGUGAGUGAAGAAGGUUUUCGGAUCGUAAAGCUCUGUUGUAAGUCAAGAACGGGUGUGAGAGUGGAAAGUUCACACUGUGACGGUAGCUUACCAGAAAGGGACGGCUAACUACGUG